This is a long non-coding RNA of Hordeum vulgare subsp. vulgare (domesticated barley), 234 nucleotides long. RefSeq lists it as uncharacterized. The record is from RefSeq and is a predicted model, not a curated record. Lineage: Eukaryota; Viridiplantae; Streptophyta; Magnoliopsida; Poales; Poaceae. The transcript has 3 exons.
AAAUAUAUCAAUUGGCCUUGCCUUCAAGCUGGUAGUGAUAGCAGACCGAUAUAUUUGCCUAUGGAGGUUUGCAGCAUAACCGCGGGACAAAGAUAUUCUCGGAAGUUGAAUGAACGCCAAGUUUCAAGCAUACUAAAGAUGGCAUGUGAAAGACCAGCUCAACGGGAGAGCAGUGUUCUAGAGAUUGUUAAUAGGAAUAAUUAUGGCAAUGAUGACUAUUCAAAAGAAUUUGGC